UUUUUUCUUCUUCUUU
Molecule: small RNA, 16 nt
Filed under: Arabidopsis thaliana (thale cress)
Lineage: Eukaryota; Viridiplantae; Streptophyta; Magnoliopsida; Brassicales; Brassicaceae
Description: ATSL018750
Source: RNAcentral